GUCCCUUUGGUGCAGUGGAAAGCGUCUAAGCACUUCUAAUCUAAAUGUCUUGGGUUCUAUCCUCACAAGGGAUG
Non-coding RNA from Dryococelus australis, 74 nucleotides. The record is from the annotation of a GenBank genome assembly. Lineage: Eukaryota; Metazoa; Arthropoda; Insecta; Phasmatodea; Phasmatidae.